AUGAGGGGGCUGGCUGUGGGAACAAGGAGGGCGAGGACCCCGUCGGGCUGGUGCUGUGGCCGCUGCUUGGCCUUCCUCGCCUCCAGGAGGCCGGGUCGCUACCAGUGGGCAGCCAAGGACACAGCCCAGUCGUCCAGCACUCUCCACUGCAGCUCCGGAUCUGGGGCUAAUGAGUCAGUUUGCCCAGAGACAUUGGAUCAAUCUGAACAUGCACGUCUGUCUCAAGAGGCAGCACUCAAAGAUGGGAGGCGCACCUGGUGGCCGUGCCAGGCCCCCAAGCCUCCCAGCAUCCUCCCCAGCUCACUGCCCACUCGCUGGGCCCCAGGGGCUGUCUGGCUGUGCCCUGAGGACAACUGGACCCAGUUCCCUCACUGGCAUUUCAGAGGCCCUGGCCACCAUGGCGUGGGGCAAGACUGGUUUACGAAAGAAGUUUCACUUUUCCUUGAAAAUUACAACCACUCCGGCCCCCUUGCAGGCCCCAUGCCCCUGCCACCCUGCUCCUUGGGGUCCUCCAUACCAGUCUGUGGCCAGUGGGCACAGCCCCAUGGUACUGGGCAUGGAUGCAGACAAAACCAUCCGAGUAGCUGCAGGGCAGGAACCAGGGGCCGCAGGUCGACAGGCUGCACCUCCAGGACCAAGGUGGCUGUGGCUGUGUUUCUGGGCUCUGUGGUCUCCUCCUGUGUGUCCUGCAACAGCCCGCCCUGCAGUCAGGCCUGCGCUGGGGCCGAGGCCGUCUGUGGGCCGUGGCGGGAGUGCCUGCUCACCCGGCCAGCAGUCGGAAGGUCAUGUUUGGCCACCUCUCCAAGUCCAGUGAUUGGUCCAGCCGAAGUGCUGGGCGGUUCGCACCACCAAGGAGAAGAAGCUGCUGGCACCCUGGGGAGGCAGGGACUCAGCCGAGGGCGCAAGGGAGGGUGCCGGAGCAAGGAGCUGGGAGCACUGACCAGGGUGACCUCUUGGAGGUGUAGAAAAGGACAUCGUCUUUGUCCUGGUCCUGGGCCUCCAAUUCUGUCUCUGAGAUGA
Molecule: long non-coding RNA, 1020 nt
Filed under: Bos grunniens (domestic yak)
Lineage: Eukaryota; Metazoa; Chordata; Mammalia; Artiodactyla; Bovidae
Description: lncRNA (ENSBGRG00000019309.1)
Source: RNAcentral